Molecule: ribosomal RNA, 533 nt
Filed under: Bifidobacterium adolescentis
Lineage: Bacteria; Bacillati; Actinomycetota; Actinomycetes; Bifidobacteriales; Bifidobacteriaceae
Description: partial 16S ribosomal RNA
Rfam family: Bacterial small subunit ribosomal RNA
Source: RNAcentral
GGGUGGUAAUGCCGGAUGCUCCAGUUGACCGCAUGGUCCUCUGGGAAAGAUUCAUCGGUAUGGGAUGGGGUCGCGUCCUAUCAGCUUGAUGGCGGGGUAACGGCCCACCAUGGCUUCGACGGGUAGCCGGCCUGAGAGGGCGACCGGCCACAUUGGGACUGAGAUACGGCCCAGACUCCUACGGGAGGCAGCAGUGGGGAAUAUUGCACAAUGGGCGCAAGCCUGAUGCAGCGACGCCGCGUGCGGGAUGACGGCCUUCGGGUUGUAAACCGCUUUUGACUGGGAGCAAGCCCUUCGGGGUGAGUGUACCUUUCGAAUAAGCACCGGCUAACUACGUGCCAGCAGCCGCGGUAAUACGUAGGGUGCAAGCGUUAUCCGGAAUUAUUGGGCGUAAAGGGCUCGUAGGCGGUUCGUCGCGUCCGGUGUGAAAGUCCAUCGCUUAACGGUGGAUCCGCGCCGGGUACGGGCGGGCUUGAGUGCGGUAGGGGAGACUGGAAUUCCCGGUGUAACGGUGGAAUGUGUAGAUAUCGGGA